GAUGAACGCUGGCGGCGUGCCUAAUACAUGCAAGUCGAGCGAACAGAUGAGGAGCUUGCUCCUCUGACGUUAGCGGCGGACGGGUGAGUAACACGUGGAUAACCUACCUAUAAGACUGGGAUAACUUCGGGAAACCGGAGCUAAUACCGGAUAAUAUAUUGAACCGCAUGGUUCAAUAGUGAAAGACGGUUUUGCUGUCACUUAUAGAUGGAUCCGCGCCGCAUUAGCUAGUUGGUAAGGUAACGGCUUACCAAGGCAACGAUGCGUAGCCGACCUGAGAGGGUGAUCGGCCACACUGGAACUGAGACACGGUCCAGACUCCUACGGGUGGCAGCAGUAGGGAAUCUUCCGCAAUGGGCGAAAGCCUGACGGAGCAACGCCGCGUGAGUGAUGAAGGUCUUCGGAUCGUAAAACUCUGUUAUUAGGGAAGAACAAAUGUGUAAGUAACUAUGCACGUCUUGACGGUACCUAAUCAGAAAGCCACGGCUAACUACGUG
RNAcentral lists this ribosomal RNA (497 nucleotides) under uncultured bacterium. Its description in RNAcentral is "partial 16S ribosomal RNA". It matches the Rfam family "Bacterial small subunit ribosomal RNA", at positions 28 to 507 of the family's 1533-position model. The record is from RNAcentral.